UACGGGGGGAGCAAGCGUUGUUCGGAUUUACUGGGCGUAAAGGGCGCGUAGGCGGCCACUGCAAGUCGACUGUGAAAUCUCCGGGCUUAACCCGGAAAGGUCAGCCGAUACUGCGGGGCUAGAGUGCAGAAGGGGCAACUGGAAUUCUCGGUGUAGCGGUGAAAUGCGUAGAUAUCAGGAGGAACACCGGUGGCGAAGGCGGGUCUCUGGGCCGAUACUGACGCUGAGGAGCGAAAGCGUGGGGAGCGAACAGG
This 254-nucleotide ribosomal RNA is filed under the name uncultured bacterium. Its description in RNAcentral is "partial 16S ribosomal RNA". It matches the Rfam family "Bacterial small subunit ribosomal RNA", at positions 524 to 776 of the family's 1533-position model. The record is from RNAcentral.